CCUACCAGUACGGGGGUGUGGUUGGCUAAUUAGUCCAAGACUUUUUAAGCAGGCACUGGGCAAGAGGCCUUGAAAUGUGGGCCUUGUUUUGAAAGCACAUGGGAUGGUGCUGCUUUGUUUGGCUAUGUGGUGAAUUUGCCCCAGAUGAGGUAGGCCAAGUUUAUUAUUUUUGUUUUGGUUGAAUUGUUUAUUUAAGGGGAUUUAUUUUGAUUGUAUGGGAAAAUUCUGGUUGUUUAUUUAGAUGCAGAUGAAUUGAGUAAUGCUAACUGGGUAUGUUGACUGCUGCCUGUGUAGGUGUUUUUGACACUCUGAUCUGGAUAAAUGUUCAAAAAACCAACUGAUUGUUAUAUCUGCUAUUUGCCAAUGAAGUGUUUUAGAUGUGGAUAAAACCUGGAAUGCUGAUUGGCUGCUUUUUGGGUAGCUGAUAAAGUUAAGUCGAUUGCUGUUUCUCCCGUGUUGUUUUUGUUUAGUUCCCUGGUCGGCCGGUCUCAGAAGUGUGCUGCAUGGUGGCAGCAAGUGUACAUUGUGAACUGUUUGUGUACGAGUCCGGUUGGCUGGGGUUCUGUUAUCUUUUUUUUUCUUUUUGUUUCUUUUUUAUUGAUGACCAUCUUCCCAGCCUUAUGUCAUUAGCUCGACCCGUGCUUGUAUUCUGUGUGUGUAUCCCUUUGGGGUAUGGGAUCCAUGUUUGCUGUGGUUUUCUUUGAAGUUAUGAGUGAAGGGUUAUGUUUUGAGUUGUUUUCUAUUUGAAUUGUGGUGUUUAUUUCCAUUGAUUUUUUUUGGUUCUUUCUUUUUACUGUCAUUAAGAAAUUGAUGUUUCCUAAUACCUUGAAGGUUUUCCACACACAAAAGAACCAGCUACUAUAGAGAGCUUUGAGCUGGUGGUUAACAUCUUUAAGAGCUGAGAUUAAUUUUGUAUUAAUUUAUUUAAAUAAAUCCUUUCAUGUCUGUUUAAUUGUGUAUAUUAUUUUUGCCCUAUCAUUUGUAAUAAACCUUUUUUGUUGUACUUUGAGUAGUCCAAAGGGUUUUGACUUUGUGCCUGUGCAUUAAACAAGGUAUUCUCUUUCAAUUAAUGUUGAAGGGGUGGCGUAGUGCUACAAUUUGGCGUAGUCGGCAGGGUGGAUCAGUAUAGAUGUACUUAUUUCUUUGGUAGGCUGGGAAGUAGGUAGUGUUUUUUGUUUGGUAUUGUUUUUGUAGGGAGAAACAGCGAUUGACUUCGUGGGACCUUGAUAU
This is a non-coding RNA of Paramisgurnus dabryanus, 1230 nucleotides long. The record is from RefSeq and is a predicted model, not a curated record. NCBI's taxonomy places the organism in Eukaryota, Metazoa, Chordata, Actinopteri, Cypriniformes, Cobitidae.